AAUGACUUCGGUUGUUAUUUAGUGGCGGAAGGGUUAGUAGUACAUAAGAUAAUCUGCCCUCAACUUGGGGAUAACGGUUGGAAACGAUCGCUAAUACCGAAUGUAGUGUAAUUAGGCAUCUAAUAUAUAUUAAAGAAGGGGAUCUUCGGACCUUUCGGUUGAGGAAGAGUUUAUGCGAUAUCAGCUUGUUGGUGGGGUAAAAGCCCACCAAGGCGAUGACGUCUAGGCGGAU
This 232-nucleotide ribosomal RNA is filed under the name Chlamydia pneumoniae. RNAcentral describes it as "partial 16S ribosomal RNA". It matches the Rfam family "Bacterial small subunit ribosomal RNA", at positions 73 to 292 of the family's 1533-position model. Lineage: Bacteria; Pseudomonadati; Chlamydiota; Chlamydiia; Chlamydiales; Chlamydiaceae. The record is from RNAcentral.